Molecule: transfer RNA, 59 nt
Filed under: Agrilus planipennis (emerald ash borer)
Lineage: Eukaryota; Metazoa; Arthropoda; Insecta; Coleoptera; Buprestidae
Source: Rfam by way of RNAcentral
UAGCUUAGUGGUCAAAGCAUUGGUGUUUAAAACCUAAAGGUCCCGGGUUCAAUUUUCGG